UGGCUCAGGAUGAACGCUGGCGGCGUGCUUAACACAUGCAAGUCGAACGAUGAAGCCCAGCUUGCUGGGUGGAUUAGUGGCGAACGGGUGAGUAACACGUGAGUAACCUGCCCUUAACUCUGAUAAGCCUGGGAAACUGGGUCUAAUACCGGAUAGGAGCGUGAAAGAUUUAUCGGUUUUGGAUGGACUCGCAAGCCUAUCAGCUUGUUGGUGAGGUAAUGGCACCAAGGCGACGACGGGUAGCCGGCCUGAGAGGGUGACCGGCCACACUGGGACUGAGCGGCCCAGACUCCUACGGGUGGCAGCAGUGGGGAAUAUUGCACAAUGGGCGCAAGCCUGAUGCAGCGACGCCGCGUGAGGGAUGACGGCCUUCGGGUUGUAAACCUCUUUCAGUAGGGAAGAAGCGAAAGUGACAAUACCUGCAGAAGAAGCACCGGCUAACUACGUGCCAGCAGCCGCGGUAUACGUAGGGUGCGAGCGUUAGGCCGGAAUUAUUGGGCGUAAAGAGCUCGUAGGCGGUUUGUCGCGUCUGUCGUGAAAGUCCGGGGCUUAACCCCGGAUCUGCGGUGGGUACGGGCAGACUAGAGUGCAGUAGGGGAGACUGGAAUUCCUGGUGUAGCGGUGGAAUGCGCAGAUAUCAGGAGGAACACCGAUGGCGAAGGCAGGUCUCUGGGCUGUUAACUGACGCUGAGGAGCGAAAGCAUGGGGAGCGAACAGGAUUAGAUACCCUGGUAGUCCAUGCCGUAAACGUUGGGCACUAGGUGUGGGGACCAUUCCACGGUUUCCGCGCCGCAGCUAACGCAUUAAGUGCCCCGCCUGGGGAGUAGGAGGCCGCAAGGCUAUUACUCACCGGAAUUGACGGGGGCCCGCACAAGCGGCGGAGCAUGCGGAUUAAUUCGAUGCAACGCGAAGAACCUUACCAAGGCUUGACAUGUUCUCGAUCGCCGUAGAGAUACGGUUUCAACUUUGGGGCGGGUUCACAGGUGGUGCAUGGUUGUCGUCAGCUCGUGUCGUGAGAUGUUGGGUUAAGUCCCGCAACGAGCGCAUCCCUCGUUUCCAUGUUGCCAGCACGUCGUGGUGGGGACUCAUGGGAGACUGCCGGGGUCAACUCGGAGGAAGGUGAGGACGACGUCAAAUCAUCAUGCGGCUUAUGUCUUGGGCUUCACGCAUGCUACAAUGGCCGGUACAAUGGGUUGCGAUACUGUGAGGUGGAGCUAAUCCCAAAAAGCCGGUCUCAGUUCGGAUUGGGGUCUGCAACUCGACCCCAUGAAGUCGGAGUCGCUAGUAAUCGCAGAUCAGCAACGCUGCGGUGAAUACGUUCCCGGGCCUUGUACACACCGCCCGUCAAGUCACGAAAGUCGGUAACACCCGAAGCCGGUGGCCUAACCC
Molecule: ribosomal RNA, 1389 nt
Filed under: Micrococcus sp. SBSK-527
Lineage: Bacteria; Bacillati; Actinomycetota; Actinomycetes; Micrococcales; Micrococcaceae
Description: bacterial SSU rRNA
Rfam family: Bacterial small subunit ribosomal RNA
Source: RNAcentral